Molecule: ribosomal RNA, 464 nt
Filed under: uncultured bacterium
Lineage: Bacteria
Description: bacterial SSU rRNA
Rfam family: Bacterial small subunit ribosomal RNA
Source: RNAcentral
GACGAACGCUGGCGGCGCGCCUAACACAUGCAAGUCGAACGGAGUUAUUCUGAAUGAAGUUUUCGGAUGGAUUUUGGAUUAACUUAGUGGCGAACGGGUGAGUAACGCGUGAGUAACCUGCCCUGGAGUGGGGGACAACAGUUGGAAACGGACGCUAAUACCGCAUAAAAUUAUCCAGUCGCAUGGCAGGAUAAUCAAAGGAGCAAUCCGCUGAAGGAUGGACUCGCGUCCGAUUAGAUAGUUGGCGGGGUAACGGCCCACCAAGUCGACGAUCGGUAGCCGGACUGAGAGGUUGAACGGGCCACAUUGGGACUGAGACACGGGCCCAGACCCCCUACGGGAGGCAGCAGUGAGGAAUAUUGGUCAAUGGACGCAAGUCUGAACCAGCCAUGCCGCGUGCAGGAAGACGGCUCUAUGAGUUGUAAACUGCUUUUUGUACUAGGGUAAACGCUUCUACGUGUAGG